Lycium barbarum (goji berry) is the source of this 1085-nucleotide long non-coding RNA. RefSeq lists it as uncharacterized. The transcript has 3 exons. The record is from RefSeq and is a predicted model, not a curated record. Lineage: Eukaryota; Viridiplantae; Streptophyta; Magnoliopsida; Solanales; Solanaceae.
GGGCCCCACUGCCACAUGGCCAAAUCUGAUUGACCCAUGCUUUAGUGGGGGACGUGUAGGACCUCUUGGGCAGCACAAAGCCAACAUUGUUGACCACAUUUUCAAUCACAAUUCAUUUCCCCACUUCACAAAGAAUUAAGAGAGAGCACCACACGUUGCUAAUAAUCUUGGCAGCACAUAUAGCCUCUUUUGUUGACUAAUCCAUCACCCACAAUUUAUUUCCCAACUCCAUCAAAAUAGAGUUAGUGGGAGAAGCUCUCAAACUUAAAGAGAGAGAGAGAGAGUCACGGCUGCACUGUUCACGCGCCACUGUUCACACCGCCACUAUUCACGGCGGCGCACUGUUCACGAUGCUACUAUUCACGGCGGCGCACUGUUCACGACCGUCACUGUUCACGGCCAGCCUUGUUUUAAAAAAAAAAAAAUUGAUUAAAUCUCCAAGGUGAUUUAAAUGUCCCAAAGGAAGCGGCAAGUUAGGAUUUAAAUUGAAGAAAGAAGAGGCGGUGCAAUUGGUGCAAGCAAGUGUAGAAUUUGCUCCGAUUAAAUUAAGACCUUGGGGAGCCCGAGGCGUAGAUUGGGAUUUACUUUAGAUUGGCUAUCUUGGAGUGCCUACGAGGUACAGACGCACAAUUUGGUGAUCCACCAGUUUAGGACACUCUUCUGCUGUUUGGAGUGCUCUUCUCAUUUCAGAGCAUAUAUUUUGGUAUAUAUACUUGUUUGAUGCAUAUGUAUAUAUUUGUUCAGGGGUACGGCGGGGCCCUGUUCCGCCAUAUGAUCCGUUUGGUCUGUUUAGAGGUCUGUAGACGUAUUUGUGGGUGUGUGUGCCUACUUCUGUUCAGAUGUGUUUGCAUGAUCCUAUUCGUUAUGGCAGCCUUGUCGGCGUGCAUUCGUAUAUGUGUUUUGGGCCGUUGUGUCAUUUGAUAGCCUUGUCGUCUUUUGAUACAUUUGACAGCCUCGCCGGCUUUUUGAUAUAUGCAUACGUAUAUGGUUGCGCUGAAAUGCGUCUCAGUCAGUUUGAUAUGAUUUGUGGCAGCGUGUGAUAUUUGUGCCCGUGUACGCUAUCUGUAUGUGAUUCUGACUGAAUA